RNAcentral lists this ribosomal RNA (465 nucleotides) under Vreelandella stevensii. RNAcentral's name for it is "partial 16S ribosomal RNA". It matches the Rfam family "Bacterial small subunit ribosomal RNA", at positions 338 to 795 of the family's 1533-position model. Lineage: Bacteria; Pseudomonadati; Pseudomonadota; Gammaproteobacteria; Oceanospirillales; Halomonadaceae. The record is from RNAcentral.
CCUACGGGAGGCUGCAGUGGGGAAUAUUGGACAAUGGGCGAAAGCCUGAUCCAGCCAUGCCGCGUGUGUGAAGAAGGCCUUCGGGUUGUAAAGCACUUUCAGUGGGGAAGAAAGCCUUGGGGCUAAUACCCUAGAGGAAGGACAUCACCCACAGAAGAAGCACCGGCUAACUCCGUGCCAGCAGCCGCGGUAAUACGGAGGGUGCGAGCGUUAAUCGGAAUUACUGGGCGUAAAGCGCGCGUAGGCGGUCUGAUAAGCCGGUUGUGAAAGCCCCGGGCUCAACCUGGGAACGGCAUCCGGAACUGUCAGGCUAGAGUGCAGGAGAGGAAGGUAGAAUUCCCGGUGUAGCGGUGAAAUGCGUAGAGAUCGGGAGGAAUACCAGUGGCGAAGGCGGCCUUCUGGACUGACACUGACGCUGAGGUGCGAAAGCGUGGGUAGCAAACAGUAUUAGAUACCCCGGUAGUC